UGCGUAGGCGGAUUUAUAAGUCAGUGGUGAAAUCCUACAGUUUAACUGUAGAACUGCCAUUGAUACUGUAGAUCUUGAGUACGGUUGAGGUGGGCGGAAUGUGUCAUGUAGCGGUGAAAUGCUUAGAUAUGACACAGAACACCAAUUGCGAAGGCAGCUCGCUAAACCGUAACUGACGCUGAGGCACGAAAGCGUGGGGAGCGAACAGGAUUAGAUACCCUGGUAGUCC
RNAcentral lists this ribosomal RNA (229 nucleotides) under uncultured bacterium. RNAcentral describes it as "partial 16S ribosomal RNA". It matches the Rfam family "Bacterial small subunit ribosomal RNA", at positions 568 to 796 of the family's 1533-position model. The record is from RNAcentral.